RNAcentral lists this small nucleolar RNA (139 nucleotides) under Sorghum bicolor (sorghum). RNAcentral describes it as "Small nucleolar RNA Z247". It matches the Rfam family "Small nucleolar RNA Z247". Rfam says of the family: Z247 is a member of the C/D class of snoRNA which contain the C (UGAUGA) and D (CUGA) box motifs. Most of the members of the box C/D family function in directing site-specific 2'-O-methylation of substrate RNAs. The record is from Rfam by way of RNAcentral. Lineage: Eukaryota; Viridiplantae; Streptophyta; Magnoliopsida; Poales; Poaceae.
AAGUUAGAGGAUGAGGAGCUGGUCUCCUACAUCCUUAGUGGCCUGGACAUCGAGUACGAUGCAGUGGUCUCUGUAGUGGCCUCACACGUUGAACCGAUCUCACUUGGGGAAUUAUAUACCCAGCUGGUGAGCUUUGAGC